CCUGUAGCUCAGUUGGAUCAGAGCAUCUGACUUCGAAUCAGAGGGUCAAGAGUUCAAGUCUCUUCA
This 66-nucleotide transfer RNA is filed under the name bovine gut metagenome. It matches the Rfam family "tRNA", at positions 6 to 65 of the family's 71-position model. Rfam says of the family: Transfer RNA (tRNA) molecules are approximately 80 nucleotides in length. The record is from RNAcentral.